UAUUGCACAAUGGGCGAAAGCCUGAUGCAGCAACGCCGCGUGAGCGAUGAAGGCCUUCGGGUCGUAAAGCUCUGUCCUCAAGGAAGAUAAUGACGGUACUUGAGGAGGAAGCCCCGGCUAACUACGUGCCAGCAGCCGCGGUAAUACGUAGGGGGCUAGCGUUAUCCGGAAUUACUGGGGGUAAAGGGUGCGUAGGUAGUUUCUUAAGUCAGAGGUGAAAGGCUACGGCUCAACCGUAGUAAGCCUUUGAAACUGGGGAACUUGAGUGCAGGAGAGGAGAGUGGAAUUCCUAGUGUAGCGGUGAAAUGCGUAGAUAUUAGGAGGAACACCAGUUGCGAAGGCGGCUCUCUGGACUGUAACUGACACUGAGGCACGAAAGCGUGGGGAGCAAACAGG
This 396-nucleotide ribosomal RNA is filed under the name uncultured bacterium. RNAcentral describes it as "bacterial SSU rRNA". It matches the Rfam family "Bacterial small subunit ribosomal RNA", at positions 362 to 776 of the family's 1533-position model. The record is from RNAcentral.